UCAUCCUAUCAGAUCACGUGACUUGGAUCAACCAAUUACCUUCGCAUUCGCCUGGAUCAACUGGAUCAACCAAAAUGGCCUUCUGUCGACCCGUUCUAUACUACUACCGUUGUCCAGCAAGGCUUGUAUAUACUGAUAUACAUAUAUAUACAUUUCAGUGCGAGGUCAGAAGAGAAACGAUUUGAAAAGACACAAAAAAGAAAAGCGGAACUGAAUCGCGCGCAAAGUCAAGCAAAGAAACGUUGUGUGCCGGGUCGUACGUGCGGGUGGCGGUGCCAACGGAAAAAGGACGGACAACCCCGUUUGUUGCAGAGGUGCUGACAGCGGGAACGGGGACAACUCUAGACGCGUCUUACCUCCGACAACAUGCAUCUGGAUACAGGUACUGGAUACAGGUAUCCAGAUGUGGCAGACAUAAAGAAGAUAUUUAUAAGCGACAUUAUCACCACACUGGAGACGCCAAGGAUUCUCCAGCUGGGCAGUCGAUGCUUUUUGCAGUUUUAGAGUUUUUGUACAUAAAUUGAGUAAAUAAAUAACGCAAAAAGCGACGAACGGAAUUGGUUGAUGCAAGUUACCGUGUCCCGUAUUGCGCCGUCAUAUAGCUGGAAUAUUGCUGAGUGUGGCGUUUGUUGGAGGGAGCGCUAUUUACAUUAGCUAGUGCUUGUUAAACCCAAUCUUAGUUGAAUAAAAUAUGUUUAAACUAUU
Long non-coding RNA from Haliotis rufescens (red abalone), 705 nucleotides. RefSeq lists it as uncharacterized. The record is from RefSeq and is a predicted model, not a curated record. The transcript has 3 exons. Lineage: Eukaryota; Metazoa; Mollusca; Gastropoda; Lepetellida; Haliotidae.